CAGGCAGUGGGAGCGUGUCCCCACCUGCCAGCCCAGAGUCUGGGCCCCGAGCCCACCCUCUCCCCACCAAUCGUCUCUGUGUCCAGCGGCUUCACCCCUGGAGUCUUUGUAGGGCUCGGGCCGAGGUGAUGGGGUCUGAGCACGGAUGCGGGCAAGGCCUUGGGCUGGGACACCCAGUGCUGCUGCUGCUGCUGCUGCUGCUGCUGACCACUCUGCUCCCUGUCCACCAGGCCUUCACCUACGAUUCCGUGACCAAAGUCCUAGGGCAAAUCGACUACUACUGUUGGGAAAUAGCCACUAGGGAAUUCCUGGAGAAUGUAUACAAGAAAGACCCCCAAAAAUACCAACUGUGGGAAACAGUGCAAAAGUUAGAAAUGUUGACUGAUUCAAAGGAUGUUGAUUUCUUCAACAGAGUAUCUGAUGACUUUUGGAAAAUAUAUCUAGCGUGUAUCGGCAGUGAACAUAUAAUGGAAGACUGAAGCAUCGGGACGAAUGGCUUUAUAGGAUCUUGGGGAAAAAUGGGACGAAGAUAGAAAAGCCCCUGGAAAAGACUCCAUCCAGUUGAAGGAAGCCGUCCAUCUGCUUCUUGGAAGCAAAGAUCGCCCAAACUCCCUCUUCUGACCUUCUCCUGAGGAUUCCCAUUGGCAGAACGAUGGCUGAAACUCCCAUUCUUUCUCCUCAAACACACAAAUACUACCCCAUCUGUCUGGCUGGUGAACUGGUCUGCCCCUCCAGGCGAUGUCUGAGUGCUCUCGGGUCUUGGAGGGCAGCAGAUAACAUUUGGUCACUUUCUACCUAAAGGUACCUGAUCUAAACCCGAGACCGGGGUCUCCGGACCCUCACGCAUCAAACUCCACUAUUAAGGCUCAGGGGCAGGAGUCCAGCUCAGAUUUCACACACGCGCUGGGUGUGGGCUCAGUAGUGACGUGUGGCUCCUUGCUUCUAAUUAAGGAUUUCUCAGGACCAUAUUAAGCAUUUAAUACAGUGCUCUGCACACAGUAAAUGCUCAAUAAAUAUCAUUGAUUGAUUGAUUGCA
This is a long non-coding RNA of Tachyglossus aculeatus (Australian echidna), 1036 nucleotides long. RefSeq lists it as uncharacterized. Lineage: Eukaryota; Metazoa; Chordata; Mammalia; Monotremata; Tachyglossidae. The transcript has 3 exons. The record is from RefSeq and is a predicted model, not a curated record.